GGUGUGUGCUACGAUCGAACAGGAGAAAGGAAAAAGGGGGGUGUGAACCUAAACCUCAAGAAAUCAUCAAAUUGAAAAGGGAAUCAAGGGCUGAUUGUAUGCAUGAACCAAGGAUGAUGAUCCCUUAAGCAUUUCUAACAUCAAGAGCCAUGUCAACAUGGACACGAGCAUGGAAGGGCAAUGGGUCAGCGGUAAAUACGGAAGCUAUGCAUGAACUCGGACGCACGAGGUAGCGUUAGUUAAUUGAGCAUGGUGAUGAUUGAAGUUUGAUAUGGUUUUGGUUGUAUGAAAUCGGUUAUUUUAGCUAAGUAGACCGAACGGGACAAUAUAAAGUUGUAAUGAUAUGACAGAUUGAUGUAAUGCUACGGUAUUGUAACCGGGUAAUGGGUAGAAUUGCACAUAAGUGCGCCAACCGAGAAUGGGGACUUAGGUUAAUGGUCAAAAGACUUAGCUUUUGACCUUAAAUAAAAGAAUGGUUUUUAACAAAAUACGAACAGGUCGAAUAAAUGUGCAUAAACUUCAUAAUGCUAAUGAAAUGCGUAAAGAUUAAGGACCCGGGUAAGGGCGUUUAGCCCAUAAUGUAAGGACAAGUCUUACGGACAACUAGAAAUAAUUGUGAGCAAUUUGAUUGAGGAAUGUCCGAGAUACGCAAGUUUUAAUAAUAAAAAUAUGAAUGGGUUGAAUAGUCGAAACGAGUAUGUAGAGCCGAAGGCUUUAAGUUAAGAUUUUUCCUUGUUUGGAUGUUAUAUUACAAGCUCAUAUGUUAGAAAAUCGAUUUACCAACGCAUAGGAAAAAGAAUCAUGUUAAUCGGAUUCGUAGAUCAAAAGUUAUGCAAAUUGUAAGUCGAAAAUACCCUUGGAAUUCAUAGCUGGGAAUUUACAGCAGCAAAUUGGAAGUUUCUGUCGAAAUAGAGCUGUCGCGCCCCGCGAGCGCCAGUCAGCUGGCAAAUUUUGGUUUUCUUGUUUGAUUUUGCAUCCGGACUCGAUGUUUUAAUGAUUUUCGAUGUCCCUUAACUUAUAUUAAAGCCGGUUUGAAACGCGAGUGAUGUUAUGAGCCUCCGGAUAAUGAAAGUAUGUAUUUUUCUUCGUGUUAGAGAAGAAAGAUUAUAAGUAAUCGAGACUAGAAAUGAGUGGGCAUGCAGUAUGGUAAGUAUAAAACUUAUAUCACGGAAGUUGCGAUUAUGAUAAGAAAUGCGAGAUUAAGUGAAUAAAAGUAGUAAGCGAGGGCUCGCGUCUAUGUGUGUGUAUGUGAAUGUGUGCAUAUGUAUGUAGGUGUAUAUGUUGUAUGUAUGUAGGAAUUAGGAACGUAUACGUUUGGGGAUGCGAGAUGUUAUAAGUAUAUGAAGGAAUGGUUUGGACUGGUUUUAUUAUGUUCUAGCAUUAAUGUUUGCUAAUCGUGUGUUUGAGAUUGGAAUGAAAUGCAGGUACAUGAACACCGGGUUCAUGAAGUAUCGAAGUCGAAUUCGGAACAAGAAAAUACGAAAGGAUAGUUGAAUGAAUUAAAGUUCCUACUGUUAAAUGUUAUUCAAUAUUGGACUAUAUGAGAAUCAUGUCGUAUGAUAUUGUUAAUGACUAAUGGUUAUGAUGUAUGCGAUGUCCACAGGUAUUGCACGGAUUACCGCUACUACUACCGAAGAUAAGCAAGCGUUGAUCGAGUCACGGAGCAAGGGUUGUACGGAAAUAUGUAUUGUCUUGAAGCGUUAAUUUAAUGUGGUUAUUGUAAAUCCCUUUUGUAAAUGUUUAUCAUUUGUAUUUGAGCCUUCAAGUAAGUAAUGUGUCUAAAUAAGAAAGAAAUUUUUGGGCUC
Molecule: long non-coding RNA, 1805 nt
Filed under: Helianthus annuus (common sunflower)
Lineage: Eukaryota; Viridiplantae; Streptophyta; Magnoliopsida; Asterales; Asteraceae
Description: hypothetical non coding rna
Source: RNAcentral